This 410-nucleotide ribosomal RNA is filed under the name Verrucomicrobiota bacterium. RNAcentral describes it as "Verrucomicrobia bacterium partial 16S ribosomal RNA". It matches the Rfam family "Bacterial small subunit ribosomal RNA", at positions 355 to 776 of the family's 1533-position model. Lineage: Bacteria; Pseudomonadati; Verrucomicrobiota. The record is from RNAcentral.
UGGGGAAUCUUGCGCAAUGGGGGAAACCCUGACGCAGCGACGCCGCGUGCGGGAUGAAGGCCUUCGGGUUGUAAACCGCUUUCAGCAGGGACGAGGCCUUAUGGUGACGGUACCUGCAGAAGAAGCUCCGGCUAAAUACGUGCCAGCAGCCGCGGUAAUACGUAGGGGGCGAGCGUUGUCCGGAAUUACUGGGCGUAAAGGGUUCGCAGGCGGCAUGGCAAGUCCGAUGUAAAAGGCGAAGGCUCAACCUUCGUAAGCAUCGGAAACUGUCAAGCUUGAGUGAAGGAGAGGCAAGUGGAAUUCCUAGUGUAGCGGUGGAAUGCGUAGAUAUUAGGAGGAAUACCGGUGGCGAAAGCGACUUUCUGGACUUGAACUGACGCUGAGGCACGAAAGCGUGGGGAGCAAACAGG